GGAGACAGGUUUUCUGAGACGACCAAUUUUUUCCUGAGAUUGAGUUGGCACGAGAUUGAUUAGUUACUUCCCUUCGGCCGAAAUCAAAUAAUUUUACUUUUCUCCCAAGAGAAACCUCUUGAAAAACCUUCUCUUAACUUCCAACAAUUCUGCCCUCACCUGUAGGACAUAAAUUGGUGGCUUAAAAAGUUUAUUUUCUUUACCCAUCAUUCCUAACAGGAGGAGGAAACAUGGAAGUGAUACCGUUGGCUGAGUACAAGAAACAAAUACAAGAAUGAACGUUCUCAUGUCGCCACUUAGAUACAUUGUUGUUAAAUUGAAGAAAAUCAACAGUUUUAUGACAUGAAAGGAAAAAAAAUAGGAAAGUUAACAGCUGAGAGGCAAGUUUCCGUUAUGUACCCGGUAUGGAGAAACUCGUAUCAGCUUCCCAAUCCAGAGUAACCGUUCUAUCGUUAACGAAUGGAGCCUUUAGCCAUCGGUCCAUGACUGCAAAUGAAAAAAAUAAUUGCAUCCCUCGUGAAGUUCAAUGAGAUCACAGUUGAAUGCACUGACGCUUUCACAUCGCAGAGAAAAGAUUUUAAAACACCCUCUUCAAAACGUGGCGAGGGUGACAAGUUUUUCUAUUGUUCUGGAAAAUAAAAUUCGAAUUCAGUGAAACUGAA
Molecule: long non-coding RNA, 662 nt
Organism: Pocillopora damicornis (cauliflower coral)
Lineage: Eukaryota; Metazoa; Cnidaria; Anthozoa; Scleractinia; Pocilloporidae
Source: RefSeq, a predicted model, not a curated record